Molecule: ribosomal RNA, 253 nt
Filed under: uncultured bacterium
Lineage: Bacteria
Description: partial 16S ribosomal RNA
Rfam family: Bacterial small subunit ribosomal RNA
Source: RNAcentral
GACAGAGGGUGCAAACGUUGCUCGGAAUUACUGGGCGUAAAGCGCACGUAGGCGGCUUCUUAAGUCGGUGGUGAAAUCCUGGAGCUCAACUCCAGAACUGCCUUCGAUACUGGGAAGCUCGAGUCCGGGAGAGGUGAGUGCAACUGCGAGUGUAGAGGUGAAAUUCGUAGAUAUUCGCAAGAACACCAGUGGCGAAGGCGGCUCACUGGCCCGGUACUGACGCUGAGGUGCGAAAGCGUGGGGAGCAAACAGG